Molecule: long non-coding RNA, 1466 nt
Filed under: Homo sapiens (human)
Lineage: Eukaryota; Metazoa; Chordata; Mammalia; Primates; Hominidae
Description: mir-99a-let-7c cluster host gene
Source: RNAcentral
CACAUGGCCCUGUUCAGCUUCUGGUCCGGUACUCCCUCCAAUAACCCUAGUUUGUCUUUUUCUCUUCAUUUUUACUGAUUUCUAUCCCACCCGUGCAUUUGUUUUGAGAUUUCAGCUCUUGUGACAUCAUCUCUGCAAAUUAUGCAUUGAGAUUUUUGAGAGAUUUCUUGAAAUUUCUGUUUAAUGAGUGGUGUUAAUGUAACAUAUAGAUUUUAAUAUCUGGAAAACUUCAUUUUUUAUCAUCCACUACUUUCUCUUAAUUAAUUUAACAUCAUUUGCCUUUCUUACUGGUCAUAGUAUAAUUCUGAGGUAAUAAGGUGGCAUUUUUAAUUUAACUAUUCAUAGAACUUCUGGGAGAAAUUUUAUGUCUAGUUCAGAAGGCAUGGCAGCAUUUUAAAUUUGAUUGUGGAGUAUUCUAACCAAAUCUUCAAGAGCCGUAACUCGAGGUGAAACCUGCCAACACUUUCUUUAGCUUGCCCAUGGUGAUGUGAAGAUGAGAAGAAAUAGCAAGGCCCAACCAGUUCUUCAUCUGGAGACAGUUCAACGUUCUGCAAACCAGAUCUUCAGGAAUUUUACUGGGAUAAUUAUCCAAAUAAAUUGCAAGCAUUCUAUCCAAAUGGACAUCCAUAAAAAUUCAUCAGAGAGCAUUUUACUACUGAGCUGCAAAGGUAGGAAAAAUAAAUUUUUUUUGGUUAGAAAAUAUACUUCUUUCAUCUGCGUUUCAAUAAUUUAUUCCCCUUGUUAGAUAUACAUGGAAUUGAUAUUGCUUAUUCUGACUAAGUGAAAAGUGUUAUUUCUACUUACUGCUCAAUUAGAAACAUGUAGUGUUUAAUUGUCAGUUUGAAUUUUUCUUUCAUACUAUUACAGUUUAUAUUUUACUAUAGGCAGAAUUUCCUCUUUAUCCUAAAUUUUGAUAUUCUCCAUAAUUUCAUCGUGCCUUGACAUUGCUGUAUAUAAUUUCUAUACAUCAGGAAGGCAAUUCUGUGUGCAUGUGUGUGUGUAUAUAUAUAGUUAGAAGUUAGAAACUGAAACUCUUUUUUGUCUACCAUCAUUUCAUAUUUUUCUUGCUAUUUCAAACCUAUAAUUUUUAAAGAAACGACUAACGUAAUCAUUCAUAGAAUAUGCUGUCAGUAACUUAACAAUAUAAAUGUUAACAUGGAGGCAUUUAGUUCAGCAUUUGCUUUACUUAAUAGAGUGCAGAAAAUGUGGCCCUUUUCUCAGUUAGGGUGUAUGUGAAGAUAAAUUUAGAAUUUCUAGACUAGUAAAUACUUCUCUGAUAAUAACUUAAUUAUAGCUAUUUCAAACCAAAUUGUUUAAUUGUGGUGAAUCAUAUGUAAAUUGUUCAGAUGUAGGUCAACACCCACGCCCACAUUCUAGCACCUCUUUCCUAAUUCAAGACAACUUUGCAGUGCCUAAAAGAGCUGAACAGUGCAGAUUAGAGACAUAAGACAAAAAAAAAAAAAAAA